AAACUUAGAUUUGAAUUGGAUACCAUAUAGAUAAUGUUUGACAUUAUCUAUAAAACCUUGUUGCCAACUUAUUUUUUUCUCCUUAUGUGUGUGAUAUUUUAAGGAGCUUUUCCUCAUAAAAAAUUAGAUGGAGAAUUGAUUUACUGUAAAAAAUUACAGGAUGGGGUGUCCCAUAUUUUUUUGGGCAUGUUUUGGUGUGAAUAGAAUAGAGGAGGCAACAUCUUGUAAGAGUCCAUGAUCUCUAGGACUCUUCACCCUUAUUUCUUACAUGCCAAUAAAAAGGAGUUUUUAUUUUUGUUUUGAGUGUGUA
Molecule: long non-coding RNA, 310 nt
Filed under: Elaeis guineensis (African oil palm)
Lineage: Eukaryota; Viridiplantae; Streptophyta; Magnoliopsida; Arecales; Arecaceae
Description: long non-coding RNA (EGUI_LNC065402)
Source: RNAcentral